GCGGAGGAAAAGAAAAUAACCAUGAUUGCCCUAGUAACGGCGAGUGAAGAGGCAAAAGCUCAAGUUUGGAAGCUCAAUGGUUUAACCAUUGCGCAUUGUAAACUGAAAACAGGAUCAAUCAGGUACACCGGGUGAUAAGUUCCUUGGAAUAGGACAUCAUGGAGGGUGAGAAUCCCGUCUUUGACCCGAGUCUAGUAUCUUUUGUAUUGGCCUGUUCAAGAGUCAGGUUGUUUGGGAAUGCAGCCUAAAGCUGGAGGUAAAUCCCUCCUGAAGCUAAAUAAUGGCGAGAGACCGAUAGCGAACAAGUACCGUGAGGGAAAGAUGAAAAGAACUCUGAAGAGAGAGUUAAACAGUACGUGAAAUUGCUUAAAGGGAAGCAUAUAAAGCUAGGAUGCGAUUGUUUUCUUCAGGUUGAGCUUUGGCUUGACUGUUCAGAAGGAUAAUCCAAGACAACAAGAAUUGGAGGAGGAGAAUAAGCCAUUGGGGAAGGUAAUCCUUCGGGAUGUUUAUAGACCUGAUGGUUCGCGCUCUUCUUUCGAUUGAGGUACGCUUUUUUUAAAGGUUGUUGUCUGAAUGGCUUUAUAUGGCCCGUCUUG
Molecule: ribosomal RNA, 596 nt
Filed under: Syncephalastrum racemosum
Lineage: Eukaryota; Fungi; Mucoromycota; Mucoromycetes; Mucorales; Syncephalastraceae
Description: eukaryotic LSU rRNA
Rfam family: Eukaryotic large subunit ribosomal RNA
Source: RNAcentral